AUUGAACGCUGGCGGCAGGCCUAACACAUGCAAGUCGAGCGAGCGGCGGACGGGUGAGUAAUGUCUGGGAAACUGCCUGAUGGAGGGGGAUAACUACUGGAAACGGUAGCUAAUACCGCAUACCAUCAGAUGUGCCCAGGUGGGAUUAGCUAGUAGGGUGGGUAACGGCUCACCUAGGCGACGAUCACUAGCUGGUCUGAGAGGAUGACCAGCCACACUGGAACUGAGACACGGUCCAGACUCCUACGGGAGGCAGCAGUUGGGAAUAGUGCACAAUUGGAGCAAGCCUGAUGCAGCCAUGCCGCGUGUGUGAAGAAGGCCUUGGGGUUGUAAAGCACGUUCAGCGGGGAGGCGUUACCCGCAGAAGAAGCACCGGCUAACUCCGUGCCAGCAGCCGCGGUAAUAC
RNAcentral lists this ribosomal RNA (406 nucleotides) under uncultured bacterium. Its description in RNAcentral is "partial 16S ribosomal RNA". It matches the Rfam family "Bacterial small subunit ribosomal RNA", at positions 30 to 526 of the family's 1533-position model. The record is from RNAcentral.